Molecule: ribosomal RNA, 206 nt
Filed under: uncultured bacterium
Lineage: Bacteria
Description: partial 16S ribosomal RNA
Rfam family: Bacterial small subunit ribosomal RNA
Source: RNAcentral
UGCGUAGGUGGUGGGGUAAGUCUCGUGUGAAAGCUCGCAGCUUAACUGCGAAAAGUCACGGGAUACUAUCCGGCUAGAGGCUUGGAGGGGGGACUGGAAUACUUGGUGUAGCAGUGAAAUGCGUAGAUAUCAAGUGGAACACCAGUGGCGAAGGCGAGUCCCUGGACAAGACCUGACACUGAGGCACGAAGGCCAGGGAGCAAACA